GACGAACGCUGGCGGCGUGCUUAACACAUGCAAGUCGAACGGAAAGGCCCUGCUUUUGUGGGGUGCUCGAGUGGCGAACGGGUGAGUAACACGUGAGUCACCUGCCCUUGACUUUGGGAUAACUUCAGGAAACUGGGGCUAAUACCGGAUAGGCGCUCCUGCUGCAUGGUGGGGGUUGGAAAGUUUCGACGGUUGGGGAUGGACUCGCGGCUUAUCAGCUUGUUGGUGGGGUAGUGGCUUACCAAGGCUUUGACGGGUAGCCGGCCUGAGAGGGUGACCGGCGACAUUGGGACUGAGAUACGGCCCAGACUCCUACGGGAGGCAGCAGUGGGGAAUAUUGCACAAUGGGCGGAAGCCUGAUGCAGCAACGCCGCGUGCGGGAGGACGGCCUUCGGGUUGUAAACCGCUUUCGCCUGUGACGAAGCGUGAGUGACGGUAAUGGGUAUAGAAGCACCGGCUAACUACGUG
This 468-nucleotide ribosomal RNA is filed under the name uncultured bacterium. Its description in RNAcentral is "partial 16S ribosomal RNA". It matches the Rfam family "Bacterial small subunit ribosomal RNA", at positions 28 to 507 of the family's 1533-position model. The record is from RNAcentral.